This 253-nucleotide ribosomal RNA is filed under the name uncultured bacterium. RNAcentral's name for it is "partial 16S ribosomal RNA". It matches the Rfam family "Bacterial small subunit ribosomal RNA", at positions 524 to 776 of the family's 1533-position model. The record is from RNAcentral.
CACGUAGGGCGCAAGCGUUGUCCGGAACUAUUGGGCGUAAAGAGCUCGUAGGCGGUCUGUUGCGUCUGCUGUGAAAACCCGGGGCUUAACCCCUGGCUUGCAGUGGAUACGGACAGACUAGAGGUAGGUAGGGGAGAAUGGAAUUCCCGGUGUAGCGGUGAAAUGCGCAGAUAUCGGGAGGAACACCGGUGGCGAAGGCGGUUCUCUGGGCCUUACCUGACGCUGAGGAGCGAAAGCGUGGGGAGCGAACAGG